Molecule: ribosomal RNA, 433 nt
Filed under: uncultured bacterium
Lineage: Bacteria
Description: partial 16S ribosomal RNA
Rfam family: Bacterial small subunit ribosomal RNA
Source: RNAcentral
AGCGAACGCUGGCGGCAUGCCUAACACAUGCAAGUCGAACGAGACCUUCGGGUCUAGUGGCGCACGGGUGCGUAACGCGUGGGAACUUGCCCUUAGGUCCGGAAUAACUCCCCGAAAGGGGUGCUAAUACCGGAUAUUGUCUUCGGACCAAAGAUUUAUCGCCUUUGGAUGGGCCCGCGUUGGAUUAGCUAGUUGGUAGGGUAAAAGCCUACCAAGGCGACGAUCCAUAGCUGGUCUGAGAGGAUGAUCAGCCACACUGGGACUGAGACACGGCCCAGACUCCUACGGGAGGCAGCAGUGGGGAAUAUUGGACAAUGGGCGAAAGCCUGAUCCAGCAAUGCCGCGUGAGUGAUGAAGGCCUUAGGGUUGUAAAGCUCUUUUACCCGGGAUGAUAAUGACAGUACCGGGAGAAUAAGCUCCGGCUAACUCCGUG